RNAcentral lists this ribosomal RNA (465 nucleotides) under Vreelandella stevensii. RNAcentral describes it as "partial 16S ribosomal RNA". It matches the Rfam family "Bacterial small subunit ribosomal RNA", at positions 338 to 795 of the family's 1533-position model. Lineage: Bacteria; Pseudomonadati; Pseudomonadota; Gammaproteobacteria; Oceanospirillales; Halomonadaceae. The record is from RNAcentral.
CCUACGGGAGGCUGCAGUGGGGAAUAUUGGACAAUGGGCGAAAGCCUGAUCCAGCCAUGCCGCGUGUGUGAAGAAGGCCUUCGGGUUGUAAAGCACUUUCAGUGGGGAAGAAAGCCUUGGGGCUAAUACCCUCGAGGAAGGACAUCACCCACAGAAGAAGCACCGGCUAACUCCGUGCCAGCAGCCGCGGUAAUACGGAGGGUGCGAGCGUUAAUCGGAAUUACUGGGCGUAAAGCGCGCGUAGGCGGUCUGAUAAGCCGGUUGUGAAAGCCCCGGGCUCAACCUGGGAACGGCAUCCGGAACUGUCAGGCUAGAGUGCAGGAGAGGAAGGUAGAAUUCCCGGUGUAGCGGUGAAAUGCGUAGAGAUCGGGAGGAAUACCAGAGGCGAAGGCGGCCUUCUGGACUGACACUGACGCUGAGGUGCGAAAGCGUGGGUAGCAAACAGGAUUAGAUACCCGUGUAGUC